AGCAGGAACAACUUUGAAAACCCAGGAAGUGAUAUCAGAUGGUCUGGGACGGCAUUGUUGAAACAAGCAACACUUAGACAAGUUGGGGAUUUGAUUUAGAAUUUAGGGAUUCAAGAUCUCCCUAAGGAUUUCAAUGGAAUAGCGACCUUUUGGAGUUUUGAUUGCCUUAAGUUUUUCAAAAAAAUUCAGUGUUUUUCAUGCCUUUUAAUCCCUAAAAAUCUCUGAAAUCUCUCAUCUGCCCGAACCCACUCUCAAAAACACUUUUUAGAUUUUUUCAACCUAUCCA
RNAcentral lists this long non-coding RNA (286 nucleotides) under Nicotiana benthamiana. RNAcentral's name for it is "long non-coding RNA (NBEN_LNC014672)". The record is from RNAcentral. Lineage: Eukaryota; Viridiplantae; Streptophyta; Magnoliopsida; Solanales; Solanaceae.